GCCAGGUGCAGUAACAUGUGCCUGCAGUCCCAGCUACUUGGGAGGCUGAGGCAGGAGGAUCCCUUGAGCCCAGGAGUUCUGAUCUAUAGUGUGCACGGUGAUUGAAUGUCUGCACUAAGUUUGCUAUCAAUAUGGUGACCUCCCAGGAGUAGGGGACCACCAGAUUGCCUAAGGAGGGAUGAAAUGACCCGGGUUGGAAAUGGAGGAGGUCAAAACUUCUGUGCUGAUCAGUACUGGGAUUGUACCUGUGAACAGCCAAUGCACUCCAGCCUGGGCAACAUAGCAAGACCCCAUCUCUU
This is an unclassified non-coding RNA of Macaca fascicularis (crab-eating macaque), 299 nucleotides long. It matches the Rfam family "Metazoan signal recognition particle RNA". Rfam says of the family: The signal recognition particle (SRP) is a universally conserved ribonucleoprotein. It is involved in the co-translational targeting of proteins to membranes. The eukaryotic SRP consists of a 300-nucleotide 7S RNA and six proteins: SRPs 72, 68, 54, 19, 14, and 9. The record is from Ensembl. NCBI's taxonomy places the organism in Eukaryota, Metazoa, Chordata, Mammalia, Primates, Cercopithecidae.